This is a transfer RNA of Phytophthora infestans T30-4, 71 nucleotides long. It matches the Rfam family "tRNA". From Rfam's summary of the family: Transfer RNA (tRNA) molecules are approximately 80 nucleotides in length. Their secondary structure includes four short double-helical elements and three loops (D, anti-codon, and T loops). Lineage: Eukaryota; Oomycota; Peronosporomycetes; Peronosporales; Peronosporaceae. The record is from Rfam.
GCGCCGUUGGUUUAGUGAUAAAAUAUCUCGUUGCCAACAGGAUGCCCCGUGUUCGAUUCCCGGACGGCGCA